GAUGAACGCUGGCGGCGUGCUUAACACAUGCAAGUCGAACGGAAAGGCUCCUGCUUGCAGGGGUACUCGAGUGGCGAACGGGUGAGUAACACGUGGGUGAUCUGCCCUGCACUUCGGGAUAAGCCUGGGAAACUGGGUCUAAUACCGGAUAGGACGAUGGGUUGGAUGCCAUUGUGGAAAGUUUUUCGGUGUGGGAUGAGCUCGCGGCCUAUCAGCUUGUUGGUGGGGUAAUGGCCUACCAAGGCGUCGACGGGUAGCCGGCCUGAGAGGGUGUACGGCCACAUUGGGACUGAGAUACGGCCCAGACUCCUACGGUAGGCAGCAGUGGGGAAUAUUGCACAAUGGGCGCAAGCCUGAUGCAGCGACGCCGCGUGGGGGAUGACGGCCUUCGGGUUGUAAACUCCUUUCGCUAGGGACGAAGCGCAAGUGACGGUACCUGGAGAAGAAGCACCGGCUAACUACGUG
This 465-nucleotide ribosomal RNA is filed under the name uncultured bacterium. Its description in RNAcentral is "partial 16S ribosomal RNA". It matches the Rfam family "Bacterial small subunit ribosomal RNA", at positions 28 to 507 of the family's 1533-position model. The record is from RNAcentral.